This 2010-nucleotide long non-coding RNA is filed under the name Homo sapiens (human). RNAcentral's name for it is "non-protein coding lnc-FBXO11-1:7". The record is from RNAcentral. Lineage: Eukaryota; Metazoa; Chordata; Mammalia; Primates; Hominidae.
GCUUUCCGCUAACUACCACCGUCCUGCCGGGUUCCACACAGGCUGCUGCUGCAGUGGGGCAAACUUGAAAGGCUGAAGGCCUCUUCCACCGCAGACCUCUCACCUUGCCAGGAAAGAGGACUAAAAGGCAAAGGUAACCACGGCCCCAAAGGAGGCGGCGAACAGGAAGUGUCCAUAUUGCAGCGCUGAAACAGUAGCUCCCAAGACAGCCACCCUCUGAGGCCCCCUCGAGGCGGUGGAGGGGCGAGAGGGUGCCGGGGUCGCUCCCACACACACCCGGGACCCGCCUCUGCCCACCACAACGCCCGGCCGCCCCCGGCACCUCCCCGUGCACUACUUGGCGGGGCCCAGCCAGUCCCAACUGGGGCCGGACGAGGACUCCGAGCCCGACAUGUCUCGCUCCACUUCAAGCCAGAGGAGGGGGCGUUGCAAAGGCUCCGAGGUGCUUGGGGUACUUCCCUAACAGCAGAUUCCAGCCCCGAGCCGAGCCCUGAGGGUCCUUGGGGCCCCCUCCACGCCUUCCCGGAGAGACGACACCCCUCGCCGCGGUUUCCGCCGCGCGACAGCCCCUCCCGGGCGGUCAUUACCUCUCAGGAAAAACUCCUAACUCCUCACAAGCCACACUCCCCUCAGUUCGACAUCCCCCGGAGCCCACACACCACCCGAUACGCGCGCCGGGGACACCCCCGCGCCGGCGCAAAUUCCUCACUGGACAAAAAUGUCCGGGCGCGUCACGGGACAGCCGCCUCCGCGCCCCACGCCUGGCGCGGGUCGCUCGCGCUGCCUCCGCGCCCGGGAGCUGCGCCGCGGGCUGGGGCGGGGAGCGCCGACCCUGGAGGGGACCGCUCCGCCCGGGACUCACCGUCAGCUCGGCCGGGAGGCGAGGGACCGGCCGGGGAAGACACAAUAUGGCAGAGCACCGCAGCUGUUCCCUGCAGCUUCCAGCAGUCGCCUCCGGGAAGACGCGGCAACCAGCAGGCAGCAGCAGCUGCAGUGGCGGCCCCGGCAGCACCACAUCCCCCUCCCGCUCGCUUCCUCCCCCUCCCUCCCCUUCCCCGCUGCCAUGGCAACGCGGCGCCAAGGCGAUUAGCCCCACCCCUCCCUCCAGUCCCGCCUCCCGCGACCCCGAGGAAGGGGGCUCGGCCGGCCCCUCCCGGUUCCCGCCCACCUCCUACCGAAGGGAGGGGCCUGGGUUCCGGCUGGCUGCCUGGCACGGCGGCUGGGGUGGGGGUGAAAUGCAGGGUCCGGAAGGGCGGGGCUCACACGGAAAGCAGGGUGGAGGCGCUGUAGGCCGGUGCGGGUUUAGGGCUGAGCAGGGCAGGGGAAAGCGGGAAAAUGCAAAGGCCUCGCAUGUCCGAGGAAGGACCUAUAGGAGUGCGGCGGAGGCGCGGCGCGGCCGCUGAGUGGUCGAGGAGGCGCGGGGGCGGGGCUAGGCUGCCGCAGGGCAGUACGGCCCUCGGUGCCUGUGCCCGGGCUGAGGAGACCUUCCUCGACACCCCACGUUAUGUGGGUUUCCGCAAGACCUUCCGCCAUUGCCUGGGCUUUGAAAGCGCUUUAGGAACGAUACGGAAACGGAGGCUUAGAAGUGGAAACUUUACAGAUAUGGAAACUGAGACUUAGAAAAAUGACCCGUCAAAGGAAACUACUGGAUGAUUUGUUCCACCAAAUGAUGAAAUAAACCAAGAAAGAUCCAAGGAACAGGGGAUUACACACAGGAGUCAGGUGAAGGGCAUCUCCAGAAUGAUGACCAAAGGAAGUCCCUGAAGACCAACAGAUAAGACUAGGCCAGGUGGCAAGCCCAGAAAAUAACCUGUGUGAAUUAGGUGGGACUGGGGGCUCCAGGAAGGAUGGUGCCAGGAGGAAGAAAAUGGAACUACUAUUAGAUUAUCUAAGAGGUUGGUCAUGUGAAAGUUUUUGUUGAGAAGCAUUUUACACAGCUGUUGGUUUAUUGUGGGAACACUUACAAUUGGUUCAAUGAAAUCUAAGCAAAUGGAAAAACGUAAGCAAUUG